GAUGAAGAACGCAGCGAAAUGCGAUAAGUAAUGUGAAUUGCAGUAUUCCGUGAAUCAUCGAAUCUUUGAACGCACAUUGCGCCCCCUGGCAUUCCGGGGGGCAUGCCUGUCCGAGCGUCAUUUCUGCCCUCAAGCACGGCUUGUGUGUUGGGUGUGGUCCCCCCGGGGACCUGCCCGAAAGGCAGCGGCGACGUCCGUCUGGUCCUCGAGCGUAUGGGGCUCUGUCACUCGCUCGGGAAGGACCUGCGGGGGUUGGUCACCACUAUAUUUUACCACGGUUGACCUCGGAUCAGGUAGGAGUUACCCGCUGAACUUAAGCAUAUCAAUAAGCGGAGGA
RNAcentral lists this unclassified non-coding RNA (337 nucleotides) under soil metagenome. Its description in RNAcentral is "partial contains 5.8S ribosomal RNA, internal transcribed spacer 2, and large subunit ribosomal RNA". The stretch from base 1 to 120 matches the Rfam family "5.8S ribosomal RNA", at positions 35 to 154 of the family's 154-position model. The record is from RNAcentral.